Molecule: unclassified non-coding RNA, 248 nt
Filed under: Ambisporaceae sp.
Lineage: Eukaryota; Fungi; Glomeromycota; Glomeromycetes; Archaeosporales; Ambisporaceae
Description: partial contains 5.8S ribosomal RNA and internal transcribed spacer 2
Rfam family: 5.8S ribosomal RNA (bases 1-71)
Source: RNAcentral
GUGAAUCAUCAAAUCUUUGAACGCAUAUUGCACUCUCUGGUAUUCCGGAGAGUAUGCCUGUUUGAGGGUAAUUAAAAAGAAUCUUUAACCAAUUUUUUUUGCCCAAGGGAAUUAGGUCUCCGCGUUUAUAGCGGUAGCUUGAAAUAAAAUGGCAAGUCUUCUUUUAGUCGGGAGGCGUAAUAAUCUUAUUUCGCGAAAUCUUCAUUAUGUGACUAACAAGUUUUGAUGCAUACCAAUUUGCCUUUGAU